Molecule: ribosomal RNA, 443 nt
Filed under: uncultured bacterium
Lineage: Bacteria
Description: partial 16S ribosomal RNA
Rfam family: Bacterial small subunit ribosomal RNA
Source: RNAcentral
CCUACGGGUGGCAGCAGUGGGGAAUAUUGGACAAUGGGCGCAAGCCUGAUCCAGCAACGCCGCGUGAGGGAAGAAGGCUUUCGGGUUGUAAACCUCUUUUGUCAGGGACGAAACAAGUGACGGUACCUGACGAAUAAGCCACGGCUAACUACGUGCCAGCAGCCGCGGUAAUACGUAGGGGGCAAGCGUUAUUCGGAUUUACUGGGUGUAAAGGGCGUGUAGGCGGGGGUGCAAGUCAGAUGUGAAAACCACGGGCUCAACCGGUGGACUGCAUUUGAAACUGUUUUGCUUGAGUGCAGGAGAGGGAAGCGGAAUUCCGUGUGUAGCGGUGAAAUGCGUAGAUAUACGGAGGAACACCAGUGGCGAAGGCGGAUUGCUGGACAGUAACUGACGCUGAGGCGCGAAAGCGUGGGGAGCAAACAGGAUUAGAUACCCCAGUAGUC